CUUAUUCAGACUUUUGAAUUUCGUGGUGUUCCAGGGAGCCCCUGGCCACGUGGUUGGCCCGGAAGCCCACCUGCCCGGUCCAGAGCAACAUCCUGAAGAGCCAGCCUGUAAAAUAAGCACCUGUUUCACUUUUGAAUAAACUCUACACCUCUCUCCCUGCAAAGAAAAACCUUGAACAUUCACGAUGCCAGUGAAGAAAGUAUUAAAGGUACCGCAAUCUAAUUGGAAACAACUUUUUUUUUUUUUUAUUUUCCAUGUGUUAUGGAAAAUGUUGGAAGAACUGACAUUUAAUGAAAGUCAUCUUUUAUUUGCCAUCUCCCUGACUGAACUAAUGCGUGGCGGUCAGCCCCUCCCAAGGGCACUGAUGAUGUGUAAGGCUCGCUCUCUGCUGCCCGUCCCUGGACAUGGUCAUCUGCUCCCCAAGUACCAAGCUGCCUCCGGGUCAGCUGAGGACGAGAGGUUUCGCUCUGGUGCCUUUUGGUUUUGAUCUAAGUAUUGCCUUGUCAUCCACUCACUCCCUUCUCCCUGCAGAGAGGUGAUGGACUUUGCAUUACAAGAUGGACUUUGCAUCGCCCUGAGAAAUCAGGGGAUCUAUCUGCAAGUAAGGUUUUUAAUGAUCCUGUGUUUCUGAGCGUUGCUCAUUGAUAAGCAUUUUGGAGUGGUAAAAUACUAUUCAUAGUAGUCGCCAGUAGAAAAAAAAAAAGGAUAAAUGACUCACCAACAACCGACACAUAACGUAUGGUAGCUGGUCGAAUAAUUACUAAAAGUAGGAAGAAGUUUGAAAGAUUCCAUCUAAUGCCUCUGGGCACUGUGAUAAAGGUCUGGGUGGACAUUAAAACAUGUUCUUACUGGUCAAGAACCUUCAGAUCUGUGAAAAUGUAUAGUAUGGGCAAUGAGGACCACAGACUUAUUAGCAUAUGUGUGUUUUUACCCUAUCCAAUUUAAAGAAACAGUUUUAUAAAGUGUUGGGAAAAUACUAUGUUUGGUAAGGGUGAGUUCAAAAUAUUCUCAUACCUCUAAAUUUGCAGAAAUGGCUCUAUUAAAAUUAAAGUGUUAAUGGCGGGUGGACUCUGGACACCUGACAGAUUGCCGAUGAACAAUGUUCUGGGACUUUGCAGUGGGGAGCGGAGGUCGCAUUGCCUCGUUCCCUGUGUGCUCUGUGGGAUCGCUCCGUCUCUGCAAAGUCCACAUGCGGGAGGUUCAGGAGAGGCCCGACGGUCGCUUAAUCCUUCCUGGGUUGGAUUUUCACUGGAUGCUUCAACCCAUCUCAUCGCUUUUCUGUAAGAAAAAAUGUUCUCCCUCUGUAGCACAUUUUAGCUGUUUUUUGUUGUUGUUGUUGUUGUUGUUGUUUGUUUUUAAUCCCUCCCUGCAAUGUUUUCUAAGCUUAAAAGGUCUUUCUAUUUCCUCUAGGAAAGAGGAUACUAAUAUUUCAAAGACGCAUCACUGGACUUAAUGGGAAAUGCUUUCUAAAUGACAUUGAAGCUGGUCUUUAAUCAGAGUUAUGCAAAGACUGGGGACAGCACCCUCCGCCCACAACAAAUUUUCAUGUCAUUGAUUACAUAAACCUUUGCGAUUAUCACUGCAAAGAAAUCCCCUCAUUUUUGUUACCUGAUAUUCUAUUCAAAGGAAAAUCAUUCUGGCUUCUCUCUCUCUCUCUCUCCUCUCCUCUCCUCUCUCCUCUCUCCUCUCUCCUCUCUCCUCUCUCUCUCUCAUCCUCUUACUUAACAGGUUUCAAUUGGUUUACAAUCAUUUUAGCUAUGAUCAAAGUAUUUUAAGCAGCUAUGGACAGACUUUGGUUUUCCACCACUGUGCUGCUGCUGCCCACGUGUCCACGCCUCACCCCCACUCCCCCGGUGGUUGCACGAGCCCCCCGUGGGGGUUUUCAUGGGGGUCCCACUGCAUGGGGCCCUCCUUCACACAGCAGCUCUCCUUUAGGUGGGAUGCUUGGGAUUCCUGGGACACUUGUGACAUUUUUCAUUUCUGUGUGACUCUUUCAUUCUCUCCUUUUUUUCUCUUCCUACAAGAAGCACAAUUAGAAAUUAAUACUUUUAAGCUACACCAAGCCAUUUAAUCCCACUAAAGGAACCUAUGUCAAAUGACAUUAAUCACAGGUUAAUUUUUAGGGUUAUUUCUAGAUACAGUUGCUGCUUGGCUGGCUUUCAUGAGGAACUGGCUUUAGUCUCACAUUUAAAUUUUUUAGAACUGGUUCCCAGUGUUGUUGAGGGCCCUUUCUCCAAGCGAGAUGAGCCAUCAGCUGUCAACCCCGCAGGGCACCCACAUUUUACACGAAGGAGAAGAACACAAAAUUUCUAAGGACUUGUAUUAAAGAUGGGUCAUACAUUUUUUUUAGCAGAUGAAUCAGUUUUAUUGAAUGGCCACAUGUAGCAUUGUCAAAAAUGUGGUACAUGUUCCAGAAACAUCAGCAAUGGAGACCUGUUCUCUUUUGAAAAUGCAGUCCACUCUGCAAAGGGACUCAGAGCAUCAUCAAAACCAAAUUCAGAACCUGACACAAAGUGUGCCCUUCCUAGUGAAAACUGUCUCGCAAAGAAUUUUCAAAAGAUCACGUUAGUUCUGCCACAGAAAGCAAUCAAGCCUAUUGCUCGUGACCAGGGUCAGGAGCAAUUCUCAUUCAACAAACGUGGUACUUUGUUUGCAUGAUGACAGUAACUAAUCAAGGACACUGUAAGACCUCAAAGGAGAAACGUAGAGAUAGAAAACCGCUCUAUGUCAUUUCUUAAACGAACAAUUUUAUUUGGCGCAAAAGAAAAUUCAUUCCACCAUAUUAAGAAAGAUGAGGCCAGUUUUUCAGACAUGCUCCUGUUUUUUCUCAGCUUCUUGGCCAUGUAAUGCCGAGGGUCCAAAUAUUAGAUGAAUGGUAAAUUCAUCUGAUUUACCAAUCUAAUUCAUCACGUUAGGUAAAUCCAGGUUCUGGAAAAAUUCAAACUGUCCUGUCACGUUGCUAAGGAGAGAGCGUUCUUGGCCCGCCCUCUAAGUUCACAUAGUUUAAUUUCCUAUAAAAAGUCGCCAGUGCCUUUUUAAGAUGUCGAUUUAGUGUUCCAUUUGGAGAGUAUUGGUUCCAAUUCAAAGCAGAGGGUUGAUUGGCUAUUCUCUGAAGAAAAUCCUCCUUUUAUGUCUCUUUGAACUCAGGAAUGGAAAAUAACUAAGAAGCACGUCAUCUUCAGAUGUGAUUUUCAUCCCUACUGGGGGUGUGACACGGAGUAGGUACAAUGGUGUGUUCAGAAUUUAGGUGAGCCCAGCCUCCACUUUUCAGAAGCUGACAUCACUUUAAUCUUACAUCCUCCCAAAAACAUCUUAGCAUUUGCUCUGUGUAGGAAUAUCGGUGUGAUGCCUGUGGAAGUUACAGGUUUUUGUUACUGUCCCUUUUCAGGCAAGUCUAUAGAUACAGGAAAAUCAGACACAGGCUGGUGACAGCUGCCACAGAUAAGGUGAGUGGAAGAGAACCACCUAGAAUAUUCUCUACUGGUUGUUUCUUUAAGUCAGAAAACUGCUUCACAAGUUCACAAAGUUGUCACUCUUGAUUUAGGUUAAGAAAGUUAACUUUUCUCUGCUGAAGUUGAUUGUUUUUCCCCUGUACCGUGACUGUUGGCCAAAAUCAAACUUGAACUUCUGCCCUUUGAAACAAAGCACAGUACGAACCUUUAACCCAAGCACGUGCAUUCACCACCAAAAGUAACACAUCAUCGGUAAGGAAACGCACAGACUUGGUCCAAUGUAGGAUUAUUCAAAAGUGUGUAACAAAACGUAUGUGUUAUGCCACUUGACGUGACUUUUGAAAAUGUUAUGAAAUGUUAAACGCCUCAUUCUGUGUUAAUUUGCUGUUGCUGUUUUGUGAUACAAAAUAAACUUACCUGGGAUUGUUUCAUUUUUCUCAUCGAACCUUCUCUGAAUCCCACUUCAGCCCUUGGUAAACUUGCAGAAAGUUACUGCCCUUAAAUUAAUUUUUUAAAGGCCAUAUGUAUUAAUCAUAAUGGAGGUUUUCUGGAAUGAGACAGCAUCACCUUCCCCUUCAUCUGAGUAAGAAAAUGGAGCUUUGUUUGGCCUCCUGGAAUAUUUGUGGAUGGCCGAGUAUUUUCUGAUUGGGCCGUUGGGUGCACCACACGUAUUUUGAGUCCUUACAUUCAAUGUUCAAGGUUUCCCUUGAAAUGUUAGAAUGUGAAAUGCGAAUUUCCAGUGGUCUUCGCUUUUAUCUUUUUUGUCCAUCAAUUCACUGGUCUGAAAUGCUCCCUCGAGAGGUGUCCAGGUCUAUGUCUAAAAAAGCGGUUUAAUGAUACCUGACAGAUAUUUCGUUUUCAAAAAUGAGUUGAAGACACCAGUCGUGGCCGCCGCGGCCGGGCGCUCGUUGCCCGUGACAUUGGAACCAUUGCGGAAGUUCAGAGAAGGAAGUGGGGGCAGGGCGUUACCUGACCAGUCGACGGACACUGACUGGCACCUGCUCCCAGCCUCAACCCUGAGGAAAACAAACAUAUUUAUGAGAUAAAAUGAGCUGCUAUUAUAGAAGUAAAAGUGCCAUGCUCAUUCACUGCUCUGGGCGAAUUGCCAAUUUCUAUAUCCCGAACCGAUUCAUCUUUUUAAAAUAAAUAAAUAAACAGAUUCAUGAGGAAUGGUUUUAAGAACUGCCACUGAUGCAGCAAACUUCCUUUCACAGGAACCCCCUCCUCCCCUCUAUCUGGGGCAAAAUAAGAGAAUCCUGAUUCUGUACAGUAUAAAUUGUAUUAUAUUUUUUGUACUUAUGUUUUAUGUAAAUAGUUUGUCUCAUUUAAUUGUAUGUGAGCAUUGAAAUAAAUCCUACCGUUUAGGAAACCA
This is a long non-coding RNA of Pteropus alecto (black flying fox), 4824 nucleotides long. RefSeq lists it as uncharacterized. Lineage: Eukaryota; Metazoa; Chordata; Mammalia; Chiroptera; Pteropodidae. The transcript is spliced from 2 exons. The record is from RefSeq and is a predicted model, not a curated record.